CUAUGAAGCAAUUGGUCAAUGCCUUAGUCAAAGAUGGAUGUGACCUGGUUGGAUAAACUUUCAGUUGCUUGGCUGGCUGAAGGCUCGCUUUAGAUAGCAAAUUCAGGUUUGCUUCUUCGAUUAUAGAGUCAGUUAUUGACUCUUGACAUGUGAAGCGAAACUCGUGAUCACGUAGUCACGCAACCCACAAUCAAGAUUGAGAUCUUAUCCCGCAAAACCGAAAAAG
RNAcentral lists this long non-coding RNA (226 nucleotides) under Populus trichocarpa (black cottonwood). Its description in RNAcentral is "long non-coding RNA (PTRI_LNC004350)". The record is from RNAcentral. Lineage: Eukaryota; Viridiplantae; Streptophyta; Magnoliopsida; Malpighiales; Salicaceae.